GUCCAUUCCAAGUCUACUAGUUAGUAGUUAUUCGGUCGGUCAACCCAAGGGGAGAACUAUGCAAAAUUGUUUUCAACCUUGACGAAAGAAAUGGAAAGGAAGGAUGAAGCAGAAGAAGCUAAAAGCAAAGUUUCUGUGAUCGAAACAUGGCUGAGAAAGCACCGUUUGCUCUACGUUGGAGCCACCAGACACCCUUUUAUCCAUAGCAUUCGAGAUGGCUCUGUAGAUGUCUCUUCAUUCAAGAGAUGGCUGGAGCAAGACUACAUAUUUGUUAGAGCAUUUGUCCCUUUUGUUGCGACUGUCUUGCUUAAGGCCUGGAAGGAGUCCUUUGAUGCCACUGAUAUGGACGUCAUUUUGAGUGGUAUGGCUUCUCUCAAUGAUGAAUUUGCUUGGUUCAACAAAGAGGCUUCAAAGUGGGGUGUUUCACUCACAAAUGUUGCUCCUCAGAAGGCAAACCUUGAUUACUGCAGAUUUCUGGAAAGUCUAAUGAGCUCUGAAGUUGAAUACACCGUGGCUAUUACAGCUUUUUGGGCUAUUGAAACUGUUUAUCAAGACAGCUUUGCACACUGCCUGGAAGAUGGUUCGAAUACUCCAGAAGAAUUAAGAGAUACCUGCCAGAGAUGGGGGAAUGAUGGCUUUGGUCAAUAUUGCCAUGCGCUCCAAAGCAUAGCCGAGCAUCAUCUAGAGAAGGCAUCUGAUGAUGUUCGUAAAAGAACUGAGGCAGCAGUGCUAGAUGUUCUUGAAUAUGAAGUUGCCUUUUGGAACAUGAGCCAAGGGGAUACCUGAAUGCUUUGGGUUGAUAUCUCUCCCAGUGCCUGGGCAUGUUAGACAAUGUGGGUGAUGCACCUUUGAGUGACUCUAGCAGGAUUUUCUACAUUAACGUCUAAUAAAUUGCCCAGAGUUUGAUUUUCUACACAUCUUGAUUUCAGUAUCCUCCAGUAUCUGUAGAACUAAGUCUGCGCAUUGUCAUUUUCUGCUGCUAUCCAUCUAAAGAUGACUGUUAUCCAAGUUAGGAGGGCUUCUGCCUCUGAUUAGUGAUGCAAAUUAAUUCCUUUCUUCCAACAUCGAACCAGCCAUUGCAUUUAGAAAGAAUAUCUACACCGCUCAACUUCGGCUGCACAGAACUUUGGCAAGAUUUGAUAUGGUCAACCUGCUCUGUUGUGAAAUAAUAACCUCUUGUUCCACGAGUUUAGCCCAUAAACGACUUUGUGUAAUUGGGAGGUGGUGAUAACUGAUAAAAGUCCCAGUAAAGAUUCAAGGCAGCAGGGAUGGCAUGGUGGUUGACUAUGGGACAUGCCUCUUGGAAAACCUAUUCAUGAUGGAUCUGAAAACUCUCCGUCCCCCCCCCCCCCCUUUUUUUUUUCACUGCCUUGAUCCCUGCUGAUUCCAGAAGAGAUCAUGAGCAAUAUUAGGAUUCUGUACUGCUGAAGUAGGAUUCGAAGAAAUCCAGUUAAUCGCUUGUACUUUAUGCGCAUCUAUUGGAAAACACGCUCGAACGUGGUUCUAUCGGCUCAA
Coffea arabica (coffee) is the source of this 1515-nucleotide non-coding RNA. NCBI's taxonomy places the organism in Eukaryota, Viridiplantae, Streptophyta, Magnoliopsida, Gentianales, Rubiaceae. The record is from RefSeq and is a predicted model, not a curated record.